UGAAUGAUAUUAACGUCCACG
RNAcentral lists this microRNA (21 nucleotides) under Physcomitrium patens. RNAcentral's name for it is "ppt-miR1073-5p". Lineage: Eukaryota; Viridiplantae; Streptophyta; Bryopsida; Funariales; Funariaceae. The record is from miRBase by way of RNAcentral.